This 429-nucleotide ribosomal RNA is filed under the name Chloroflexota bacterium. Its description in RNAcentral is "Chloroflexi bacterium partial 16S ribosomal RNA". It matches the Rfam family "Bacterial small subunit ribosomal RNA", at positions 355 to 776 of the family's 1533-position model. Lineage: Bacteria; Bacillati; Chloroflexota. The record is from RNAcentral.
UGGGGAAUAUUGCACAAUGGGCGCAAGCCUGAUGCAGCCAUGCCGCGUGUGUGAAGAAGGCCUUCGGGUUGUAAAGCACUUUCAGCGGGGAGGAAGGCGAUAAGGUUAAUAACCUUGUCGAUUGACGUUACCCGCAGAAGAAGCACCGGCUAACUCCGUGCCAGCAGCCGCGGUAAUACGGAGGGUGCAAGCGUUAAUCGGAAUUACUGGGCGUAAAGCGCACGCAGGCGGUUGAUUGAGUCAGAUGUGAAAUCCCCGGGCUUAACCCGGGAAUUGCAUCUGAUACUGGUCAGCUAGAGUCUUGUAGAGGGGGGUAGAAUUCCAUGUGUAGCGGUGAAAUGCGUAGAGAUGUGGAGGAAUACCGGUGGCGAAGGCGGCCCCCUGGACAAAGACUGACGCUCAGGUGCGAAAGCGUGGGGAGCAAACAGG